GUUUGAACCUGGGGAAAAAAGAUGAUGAUGGAUGAUGAUGAUGAUGAUGAUGAUGAUGAUGAUGAUGAUGAUGAUGAUGAUGAUGAUGAUGAUGAUGAUGUUUAGAAAAUAGUAAUCAUGCUCCACUAAAGUUUAGGGAUUUAGUCUUUUUAACUAAGCUUUACCAGACCAUUGGGAAAAAAGUGUACUCGCUAGUAUCUCAACCUUUGAACCACUAAGCGAAUAAGAAAGAGGGUGACGACAUCGUGCUUUUAUAAAUAGCUGAAAUGUUAAAAACAACAAUAAGUACAAUAAGUUAAAGUUUAAAUAUUUAUGUCCUUUUGAAUAGGUACUCAUAUAUCUCUGUACUGUCUUUCCUACUAUCCAGGUGACUGCGUUAAGUGGGUUGGGUUAUGUCUUUGUAUGGCGUUCACACCACCACAUAAUAGUCUGUUUAUAGGUCUUGACGAUAACAGGAAACUUUGAAGCUGGGAUACAGAUGGUUGUAAACUAUGAUACAGAUGCACGCACAUAAAGGUCUGAGAGGAUUGUUGAUUAAAGUAAGGAAACAUUGUUCAAGCAGUUUCAGUUUCCUCGAUGGUGGUGUGAGAAGUAGCAUGUGUGUAUAGGCUUAUCUGGUAAAUUAAAUGUGUCCAUGGGCGUAAACCUUUCACAAGAUCAACAUGAGCAGGUCCUUGUUGUCAUUAUUUCCUUAAGGAUGACAGUAUAACCAUUCUCUGAGAGGGGCAAAUCCGCAAGUUUAGUCAGAUAAUAGGUUAUGGAGAGAUUUAAUUAAGGAAAUAUUUCUAUCAAAACACUUGAAGUGUUAAGAGAGAAAGACCAGGAAACCCUUUAUAGGACAAGUUAGCUUCUCUUGUUAAAAGGAAGUAAAAAUGAGACUAUGGUCUUCUAGAUAUAGAUGUAGACAGACAGAGAGACAGAGAGACAGAGAGACAGAGAGACAGACAGACAGACAGAUUAUUUUUGGUUUUUUUAGUACAUUUCCUGUUUUCACCUAGCGAUAAACCCAACUAGCCAAUGCUAUCCUUUCUUUUUUUUUCUCAGUAUUAGUCUAGACAACAUGGGAAUUGUAACGGAGAAACAAGAGAAACCUUUACAUGCCUCAAGGUAGAAGGCACAAAAUACAUUAAAGGGAACAGAACAUGAUACUAUCACGUGGUGGUAUUGUAGAAAGUAUGCCGAACCCUACUACCUCAGCCGGAAUCUUUCAACAAUUUCAAUUAACCCAUUAGUAAUUGUAGGUCCAAACCAGGAAGAUUAGAAUGCACAGAGGAUGGCACGAUCUGGGAUUUUUCGAAGCCUCAUCGUGAACUUAGUAUCAAACAAAGUAGGGAUAAGCCCUUACUAAGUCCCAACUUAAGUCUGGUAUGGUAUACACUGCCUUGUGGUAGUGUUCCACGAGGAAAUAUCAUAUAAAGAACAGACUAGGACACGAUCUGGCAAUGAGUUCCUCUACUGGUCCUUCUUUCAAAUAAACACUCUCAAUCCUUUGUCCAGCUGGUAUUAACAGUUGACCUAGGGGCAAUAUUCUGAGUUAAGCUGCAGCACCUGGUAGGAACUCUUUUCUCCAACUACAAGAUAACUCUCUAUUGUCUGACCUUUCACAUCCUUAUAGUAGUCUUCCUUUAAAAUGACCAUAGACCAGAUGAAAGAUUAAAAAGUGAUAUAAAUUAAGAUUGACAUUCAAAACCUGGAUAGGCAUUAGUAUAUCAGGUGCACCUAAUUCUCCACAAAUGAAAUUAAAAUGAGGCUUCAGAUGUGCGCAGAUACACACUUCAACCUUUUGGGUAUUUUUGUGCAGAAAUGUUGAAGUGUGUGCCAGAACACCAAAGACCUGAUGGACUCAGGGAUGGUCAGAUGAAGACAAGAAGACACUGACUCAUAGCUUGUUUACAGAAGUUACUACUGUUUGGAAGACAGAAGACUGGACCUCCAGGAAACAAGGAUUGGAGCAACUUCUUUGGGCGACAUCAAGAAAAAUUAGAUUUUCUAGCCUGUUAUUAGCUUGUCUCUAUUCAUUUCCCCAGUGUAUCAUCUGUACUUACUAUGCUUUUUGAAAUGCUUAUUAUCUCUCUUUUUUGAACUGCUUGGUGUAUAUUAUUAUUCCUUAAUUGAAUGUUUAUGCAUUUACGUUUAAAAUGUUUACUAAAAUGUGUAGUUGUUUAUUUAUUUUCACUCCUAAGCUCAGUUUUGUUUUUGUCAACAGAUGAUGAAAAAGGAAAUGAUCAAUGGCCAAACCUUGACAUCAGGCCUGACAACUGAUACAUAAACAAACUUUGAAGACCUAACAUUAACUCAUCAUGUAGACUAAUCUGUAAUUAAAUUAAUUGGACAUUGGUAGCUUUUACAACGGAGUUGAUUACUCAUACAGCAAUUUGCAUUUUUUAAAUAAUUCCAAAGACAGUCUAAUUUUUGUCGACUAAUGUAUGGAGCUAUCUUUUCACUAAAUCCUAAUUGGAAUAACACUUAACUGGAACUAGACUUAGGAAAUAAAAAGCAAAUUUCAUAACAUUUUAUUUCUCAAAAUUUGUCUAAAAAAUUCUAUUUUAUAAAUUUGACUAAGACUUUGUUUAACUAUUUACAUUCUGUUAUUUUAUUUUUAUUUAUUUAUUUAUUUUUUAUAUUAAUUAUUUUCUAAAAUUUCUUGUUGAAAUUAUGCAUCAAAUUUCUUUUCUCUUUAAAAAGCUAAAACUAAAUUGCAAAAGUUCCCAGAAAGAUUUUUUUAAAUUCAGGUGCUUAAACAAAAGUAAUCAAACUGAUUUUUAUAGUUUAAAAAUCGCAAGAAUUAAAAACCGAUAUUUUUUCAAUCCAGCUGCAUUAAACAAAAGCUAACAAGAACUAAACAAAGCUAAUCAAGCUAAUAAACAUUAAAAAUCGAAUGUAAACUGUUUAAUAUAUUAACCAUUUGUAUUUACUUUAUGCGUGGUUGGAAAGAUGUAUUGUUUGUAGAAAACUUGACAUGUUUAUUGUUAAUAAACUACGAUGGUUCUCGAAUGGCCUCUGUUGUUUUUUCAAUAAUAAACACCGAAACUCCGAAAAGGAUCGAUGUCAACAAUCUAAGCCGUGAACGUAGCAGAGGCAUGCCAGAUCAUUGCUGCAAUAUUGUUUACUAUGUGUUUUUAUUUUGUUAUAAUCAUGAUUGACUCAGCCAUUCUUCCAGAUGUUUACUACUAGCAGCUGACAAUUAUGUUUCUAGUCCUUCGUCUUUAUUGCUUAGGUACAUUAUGACUAGUGGUACUAACUGACAGUACGUAAUAAGAGUUUAAUUAUGAGUGAUCUCACGAUUGACUAAAAUAAUUAAUGUUUUAGAAGGUUAGACAGCUAUUGUAAUUAGCUUAUGGUAUUUAAUAGAGGACGCAGAACUUUUGGCCUUAAAAGUUUAUUACUAAAUAAUUUUUUCCUCUCCAAAACCACUAAAACAACUUUUGAAGUAUAUAAAUCAACUAACGUAAAUAGGAAGAAAAGUAAAGUUGUUCGGUCAUUAGUGUAACCUAAUAUCUUUGUGUUGUAGAAAAUAAUUGUAGUUUUUCUCGCUAGCAAUUAACACUAUUUGCGUUAAAAUAACACUUAUAUAAAUAUUUGCUUAAUAUUUUUUCUGCAGUAUUUUGAAAAUAUUAUUUUCCUGUUAAGGAUAGGGUGGAAAGAUAAAAAAGAGAAUACCACACACUGAAAGUGAAAGAUACUCUAGUAGUUUUUCUUACAAAGUAGUUGCUAUCUAUUUUCAGGUGACAGCAAAAUCCACACCGAUUCAAGUACCAGUUUUAUUAUCAUUAUUGGCGGUGGAGCUGGUGGUGGAUUUGUCCUAAUUAUCAUCAUCAUUAUCGUCGUUGUCAAGUGCAGAAAAUCACGUGACGUGAACAUUCAAAGCAUUGCUAGUAUCGCAGCUGAGAAGCAAGCAGCGAGAAAGAGUGAUUCCAGUGCAGGCACAGGGGCAGGGGCAGCAGGCAACGACAGCAAGAGUGGAGGGUCGAGUGCGCGUUCCUCGUCCAGUGGCAGCGACAAGCCCUCGUCCAACCCCAACUACACCUCCACCGCACUGCAAGAAGUGGAGAUCCACGCCUACAUGGACCUACACACUAGAGAUCCUACAUACGCCGCCACAGCUUCAAAGAAAGAUAACCAUACCUACAUAGAGCUUCGCACGAAGCGAAUGCAGUCUGAACCACCUCAACCUCCCGCGGAAGGAUCGCGAAAUUCUGCAAUUUAUGCAAAUCAGGGGAGAUCACCCAAAACUCCAGUUGUAGAAGAAGAAGAGGAAGAUGAAACUAAUUAUUAUAAUACAGCCUGAAAACAACCCUCAUCUGAAUGGCAAUGGAAAUCGCUACAACCAGUGAAAACUGCUCAGUCCCUAUUCGUGGAGGUGGAUCUUGCAAGUUCUUCAGCUCACGAGUAGCAGAUGGAGAAGAGGCCAGUUCAGUCCAGGCAAAGACAGAACAAAGAUAGGAAAACAAACUUUGUGGCAUCAGAACUAAGAAUUAUGAUGUUAAGGCAAACAUAGAACUGUAGAAUGUAAUGUUCAGUGUAACAAUUUCAUCUUUUGUGUUUCUGUUACUUGCUGAGGUUUAGAAAUUGAAAGGAUGCAAACAAAAAUCCUGUGAUCAGUAGAUUAUGCAUAAAAGGAAGAAAGAAAGAAUUGUGCAGUUAAACAAAUUUUUAUUGUCAUUAAACAUUGUUUUGACACUAAUUGAUAUGCAAGCACAUAUAAGAAUCCUUUUCCUCUGGAAAAAAGUGAAUUUUUUUCAUAAAAGAUAGAGCCACAAUUACUACCAGAAUGUUAUGUGCAUAUGUACAGACUGUGUGUGUGUGUGUGUUUAUGUGUGUGUGUGUGUGUGUUUAUGUGUGUACAUAUCUUUCCAGAAAAUUCAUAACAAGACUCUACUUAAAAAUUUAAAAAUUAAAUAUCUUCAGCAACAUUUUUGUUACUGCUGUGGAGCAUUAUAGCUUCUGACCUCUGACGUGUUGACAUUUUAAUUUGUUGUUAGUCAUAUUUUGUUUAUAUUUUCUGAAUUAGAAAAACAAGAAUUAGAAAUGAUAAAAUGCCUCUUAACUUUCCUUUACAAGUAUGGGAAAAUGUACAAGUAAUUCAAAUUGGUCUUUCCUGACAGUCACAAUCUUUAUUUGUCUUUCAGUCAAAAACAGUUAUUCUUUACCAGUGGCUUUAAACAUCCUAGAAUGUUGUUUGCAUUAAGUUGCCUAGUUUCUUAGUAACCUUAUUGAUAAUUAUCUAUUCUGUGCUGAAUAAAUCUGAAUGAUUCUUUAUCAGUAAAGUAGCACUAGGACAGCAAUGCAAUCUUUGAUAGCUUAUAAGUUGUAUUCAGUUAAUUAAAAAAAUUCACCUGAAUAAAAAGAAACUUUCACGAGGUAUGCCAUUCAUUUAACUACCUGCUUUUGUUGAUAUUUUAGUUAGAAAUCUUUCACAUCUGUUUCGUCUGUUUUAUGUCUACUGCUUAGUUUCAUGUUAUUUAUUAGGAGCAGAAUAAACAAGAUUAUAAAUAAACUAUUUUAAUGGCAUUCUGUUAUUGCUUUUCCAAUGUGAAGUAAAUAUCAGAGAAAUAAAACUCUUUCAAUGUGUAUCUGUA
Pomacea canaliculata is the source of this 5579-nucleotide long non-coding RNA. RefSeq lists it as uncharacterized. NCBI's taxonomy places the organism in Eukaryota, Metazoa, Mollusca, Gastropoda, Architaenioglossa, Ampullariidae. The transcript has 6 exons. The record is from RefSeq and is a predicted model, not a curated record.